GAUGAACGCUGGCGGCGUGCCUAAUACAUGCAAGUCGAGCGAACGGACGAGAAGCUUGCUUUUCUGAUGUUAGCGGCGGACGGGUGAGUAACACGUGGAUAACCUACCUAUAAGACUGGGAUAACUUCGGGAAACCGGAGCUAAUACCGGAUAAUAUUUUGAACCGCAUGGUUCAACAGUGAAAGACGGUCUUGCUGUCACUUAUAGAUGGAUCCGCGCUGCAUUAGCUAGUUGGUAAGGUAACGGCUUACCAAGGCAACGAUGCAUAGCCGACCUGAGAGGGUGAUCGGCCACACUGGAACUGAGACACGGUCCAGACUCCUACGGGAGGCAGCAGUAGGGAAUCUUCCGCAAUGGGCGAAAGCCUGACGGAGCAACGCCGCGUGAGUGAUGAAGGUCUUCGGAUCGUAAAACUCUGUUAUUAGGGAAGAACAUAUGUGUAAGUAACUGUGCACAUCUUGACGGUACCUAAUCAGAAAGCCACGGCUAACUACGUG
This 497-nucleotide ribosomal RNA is filed under the name uncultured bacterium. Its description in RNAcentral is "partial 16S ribosomal RNA". It matches the Rfam family "Bacterial small subunit ribosomal RNA", at positions 28 to 507 of the family's 1533-position model. The record is from RNAcentral.